GUACAGCUUGUCUGUGUUCUUCUGGGUUUAGUGUUUGAUGGAUGUUGAAGCUGAAAAGAAUUCUGAUCAAAACCAAAGCAUGAAGUCAAUGAACUUCAAGAAUCAUAAGAACGAGGUCGGCAAUGCAUUAAGUGGGUAAGUGUGAACCAUUGUUCUUUGCAAAGUGUUAGCUUAGCAUUGAUGUAUCUUAUCUGUUUAUAUACUAAGCAUGGAUCCUUAUACUCGGUUCAAGCAUCAUGUUCGGUUUGUCUCUUGAUUAAUUUAAUAUGCUGCUCCCCUUACUAAUGCAGAGCGUUAGUCAUCUUUCCUUACUGCAUCUUCUGCAUCAGGCUAAAUGUCAAGUUGCAAGUGAUUUCUUACCCUCCUGCAUAUAAUCUCCAUUUUCCUUGGUAGUUUUUCCUCUGAUGUAUGCCUAAGAUCUUAUUCUCGAGACUUUUCUCUAUUCGGCCACUAUGUGACAUACGAUUCAGUUGAGCUAGCUACCUUUGCUCCUUAUUGGGUGUCGUUCGAACAAAUGACUACAUAAUCAUACUCCAAAUGAAGUAGAUGCUAGGUUUACUUAAUCCUCCAAGAUUUUCUUUGGUUUACAAUGUCCAUAGUGUUUUCGUACAUGAUCUUAGUAAACCCUUGGACAAGUUGCUUUCGUGAUAGGGCGCUGCAUCAGAUUUUUCAGCGCUUUGCAGUUAUGGGGAUCGACAUCUGGAUUGAUCACAAAGUUGUGCGAGCUUCGAAGAAAAGGGUGAAGGUAGGUAUAGCUGUCCUGGAAGGCUGGAACCAAACUGUUGGAGGGCCAUGGCCUUAAUUGAGUUCCAGGAUUGUUCAAUAAUUGGGAGUUGUGGAGCAUUUGUGUUAUCUGUGGCUGAGAAGAGCUGGAUUUGGGGUUGAAAAGGACACCACAACAGAGAGGAUGAGGCAACAGCUAGUGCUACCAGAAUAACAAACAGCAGCUUGGAGUUGAAGAGUUACGUGAGGGGAGAAACUCCUAUAUCCCUUGUUUCUUACCGCUCUCCUCUCUCUCAUCACAUGACUACCCAUAUGAUGAGAGAGAGGAAGAGGGUUAUGAAACGAGGGAUACUAAGUAUUAUGCAUGUAAGCUAUUUA
This 1101-nucleotide small RNA is filed under the name Malus domestica (apple). RNAcentral's name for it is "sRNA MD10G0219000". Lineage: Eukaryota; Viridiplantae; Streptophyta; Magnoliopsida; Rosales; Rosaceae. The record is from RNAcentral.